RNAcentral lists this ribosomal RNA (440 nucleotides) under uncultured bacterium. Its description in RNAcentral is "partial 16S ribosomal RNA". It matches the Rfam family "Bacterial small subunit ribosomal RNA", at positions 355 to 787 of the family's 1533-position model. The record is from RNAcentral.
UAGGGAAUCUUCCACAAUGGACGCAAGUCUGAUGGAGCAACGCCGCGUGAGUGAAGAAGGUUUUCGGAUCGUAAAGCUCUGUUGUUGGUGAAGAAGGAUAGAGGCAGUAACUGGCCUUUAUUUGACGGUAAUCAACCAGAAAGUCACGGCUAACUACGUGCCAGCAGCCGCGGUAAUACGUAGGUGGCAAGCGUUGUCCGGAUUUAUUGGGCGUAAAGCGAGCGCAGGCGGAAGAAUAAGUCUGAUGUGAAAGCCCUCGGCUUAACCGAGGAAUUGCAUCGGAAACUGUUUUUCUUGAGUGCAGAAGAGGAGAGUGGAACUCCAUGUGUAGCGGUGGAAUGCGUAGAUAUAUGGAAGAACACCAGUGGCGAAGGCGGCUCUCUGGUCUGCAACUGACGCUGAGGCUCGAAAGCAUGGGUAGCGAACAGAAUUAGAUACCC